UACAGAGGUCUCAAGCGUUGUUCGGAUUUAUUGGGCGUAAAGAGCGUGUAGGCGGCCUGGUAGGUCAGCUGUGAAAACUCGAGGCUCAACCUCGAGACGCCGGUUGAAACCAUCAGGCUAGAGUCCGGAAGAGGAGAGUGGAAUUCCCGGUGUAGCGGUGAAAUGCGCAGAUAUCGGGAAGAACACCCGUGGCUAAGGCGGCUCUCUAGUACGGUACUGACGCUGAGACGCGAAAGCGUGGGGAGCGAACAGG
This 253-nucleotide ribosomal RNA is filed under the name uncultured bacterium. Its description in RNAcentral is "partial 16S ribosomal RNA". It matches the Rfam family "Bacterial small subunit ribosomal RNA", at positions 524 to 776 of the family's 1533-position model. The record is from RNAcentral.